This 253-nucleotide ribosomal RNA is filed under the name uncultured bacterium. RNAcentral's name for it is "partial 16S ribosomal RNA". It matches the Rfam family "Bacterial small subunit ribosomal RNA", at positions 524 to 776 of the family's 1533-position model. The record is from RNAcentral.
UACGUAGGGUGCAAGCGUUGUCCGGAAUUAUUGGGCGUAAAGCGCGUGUAGGCGGCUUAGCAAGUCGGGCGUGAAAGCCCUCGGCUCAACCGAGGAAGUGCACCCGAAACUGCUGAGCUUGAGUGCCGGAGAGGAUGGCGGAAUUCCCCAAGUAGAGGUGAAAUUCGUAGAUAUGGGGAGGAACACCGGUGGCGAAGGCGGCCAUCUGGACGGUAACUGACGCUGAGACGCGAAAGCGUGGGUAGCAAACAGG